UCUCAUCUCAGCCUCUCACACAGCCGCUCCGUCACUGCUGGUAGAAUUCCAGCAGUGGCCCGAUGUGAACUGUGCAGAGAAUGUGACCCCUAGAAGCCCUUUGAGGUUGCCUAUGCUAGAUGACUCUACUUUUUAAAGAGGCUUUCUGUGCCCUUGCUUUUUCUCAUGAAUCAACUCUUGCCUCUUAGCAGAUCAGCCGGGGGUGGCUCGUGGAUGACCGCCAAACCUUCUGCUUGGUGUUUUGUCCAUGGCGCAUUUGGACUAUGCUACAAAGGGAAUUCCUACUCUAAUUCAGAGGCUCGGGUACCAAGGCCACAAGCAGGAGCAACAGCACUUCCUCCCUGGCAUGGGGGAAAAAAUCCUAGAAGAUCCAGUCUGGGGAGUAAGCCACUGUGAAUGGAAUCUUGGACAACAGUUCAUUUCAUAGAGACGCCUUUACCCGAGUAAUCAAGUGGGGACCUUAUGAGGAUAGCUGCCCUCCUAAGGGUGACCUAUGUGGCUGUCGCUGGACUCACAGAGCUAAAGCAGCAAAGAAUACUCUUCAGAGGGUCGAGCAGAAGGGCUACUGGGAGAGAACAAGGCCAUGAGUAAGAAGGCGCUAUGAAGUGGUUAUGAGCACCCACAGGACAGCAACAUCAAGACAUGUGUACAAUGGCGGCUAAGAUGCCCAGACCCCAGAUACGAUUUCUGCCUACCUUACUAAUAUGGACCGGAGCUGUGCACCACGCCUCUACUUAUGAACCCUGCCAUCCAUGAAAACUUUCAAUUUCACAAGAAUAGUGAGGCAUAUUUACAUGGAGAAGAUGUUCCCGUGGACCACUCACCACCCAGAUCCUCCCUCAGGAACAAAAGACAAGCCCUGCUGCCAGCCUGCUCUAGAGAGUGAAUAAGCUAUGAGGAAGGAUGGUCAGCUAAAGUCAGACCUCGAUGGAGUACAGUCCGUACUCAAAGACGGAUUGGUGUGGGUCCAUUCAAGCCUCAGAAGGACCAUGCUAUUAUUAGAGCUCAUCGUUGAGA
This is a long non-coding RNA of Mastomys coucha (southern multimammate mouse), 1017 nucleotides long. RefSeq lists it as uncharacterized. NCBI's taxonomy places the organism in Eukaryota, Metazoa, Chordata, Mammalia, Rodentia, Muridae. The record is from RefSeq and is a predicted model, not a curated record. The transcript is spliced from 4 exons.